UUGAUUUUUUUUUUUGCAUUUCUUCAAAUUAUUUUAAAAUAGUACUCUGCUCCCUGUUCCCUUCAUUCAGCACUAUGUCUGAGGGUUUUUUUUCCACAUGAGCACACAUAAAUAUAACUCAUCCUUUGUACUGGCCACACUGAAUCCCAUUGGGUAGAUGUGUGCCAUAAUUUAUUUUAUCAAUCCCAUUUUGAUGGAGCUGCAACUCUGUUUUGCCAUUAGAACUAUGACUAGACCUCAACAUACAUUUUUUUCACAUGUGUCCAGUUUUUUUCCCCCUAGGAAUAAGCAUCUAGAGGUGGAAGUGCCUGUCUGUACUCACACAUUUCACACUUUAAGUGACCCCACUCGAAAGCUGUGGGAAAGUGGUUCGCAGGCCUCCGUGUACUCAGACUGAAAUGUUUUGCAGCGUUUCAGGUUGAGAGGUCACAUCGUCCUCUUCAAUGAAGUUUAAGAAAUUGGCAAUUGGCAACUAAUGUUUGUUUGUGCCAGUGCUAAAUACUUUACUUUGCAGUGGAGUGUAAUUCCCAUUAUCCUUAACUAUGAAAUGAAGGCAUAGUCCUGUGCUCAAGUCGGUAGCCAUUUAUACAGCAUUGUCACCAUUCUGUUUCAAGCUCAUGGCAGUGACAGGAAAUAUGUAUCUGUAUGUCUACUUGGCCCUGGUAUUUAGGAUUUUAUGUGCUGUCCAUAGCUGUACUCUGACUCUUGGAAGAGGUCACUGCCAUCGAUCAGAUGAUCAAUGCGUUAUCACUAGCACCAGCUUACACCAAAUAACAGCUUGUCUGCUCCAAUCCUAACACCAAUCCACUACACUUAGCAACUUCGCUCUAGUAGGCAUUCCUAAAAGGAAAAUAUACAACCACAGUUGUACUCACUAGUUCUUACACACUAAACCUAUAAAGCAACUCUUUAUUGAAAAGCACCUUGCCAUCUAAAAUAUAUCCCUCAGGUAGUUUCCUAAAGUGCAGUUUUUAAUGGUAGAAUAAAAACUAAUGCUAGGCACGUACAAAUUUUUAUCGAUUUACCUCAAAUCCUCGUGUUAAAAUGGAUGGUGAUGUUCACUACAUAAUAAAGUUAUAAAUGUGGACUUCUAAUGUAUAUUGUUUGCUUAAUACAAUUUUAAAUCUUGUCAAGUAUAAAUUAUAUAGACAUUCUAUUCAGAGCAAGCUUUUAUAUAUCAUUUCCAACGUCAAUGAAAUCGCAUUGACUCAAGAACAAAUGAUUCAUUGUUUACUUCUAACUUGCGCCUCAUGUAAUUCACAGGACUGUGAUUUUAUUUUACUAAAGAAUCCCAGGGAUUCGUGUCGUGCAAAAGAAUUUUGAGAAGAUUCCUAUUCUAUUGUUUCAAAAACACCCCCAACACACACACACCCACAUACCUCAAAUAAAUUAAACAUUAAAAUUGUUAUCAUAAGUCACUUCUCCAUACCAAGAGCAAGCAUAAUCUUCAGUUAGAAGGCUCAAUUGGCAGAUCAUUUGUCCUUUGUCUCCCAUGCACCCUCUGUUGAGUGUGAGAAACUUAGGCUGUUGUAAUUACGGGAAACAAUAGAGAUGCUACAUUCGAGCUUUCAUUGUGGAGCCUGUCUUUUAAAAAAUUAACUGGCCUUCCAAAGGUUUGGUAUGGGGAUCGGGGGGAGGCACAAAUGUUUUUCAAGUUGUCAUAGCAACUUCCUACAUCGUUCCCCAGAUAAAAGCUAUUCCAAUAUUCAAUUAUUGAAACUGUGAAUCUGUUAAUCUAUAACACAUUUUUACUCACUUAUGUAAUUUUAAAUUUCAGUUUCAUUUGAUUGAGUGUUUUAAUCUCCCUUAACUAGUGAGUAAGUGAAAAUAAAUGGUGCAUUCCUAAUGCUAUAAAUAUGAAAAAUAGAAAGUACUUAAGGCCUGCAGGCAAAUACAUUAAAAUCAGUCAGAUUUCUAGUUAACAUAUUCUCGUUCUGUUUGUGUGCAAAUCCACUACACCGAGGAAACAGAUCACAAAUGCAUGGCCUUACAAAAGCCCUGUCCCAAUUUCAUGUUAUGACAGCAGAAAUUGGCCCAAAUCUCUAACCAUUUCCCCUAACAGGCCCUGGCUGGCUGGUGCCAUCCAGGUGAGGCUCAGUCUCAACAAGGGGAACGGCUCGUCAAAUUCCUCUCAUCUGUCAGCGUAGUGGAUUAUUUCUUGAGAGACUGAAAUUGCCUGCUUGCAAUCUGAACACCAUCAAUCUUGCUGUGGAGGGGACCGGGGAGCUGCCUGUGAGGUGCUGACUGGAGGGGGAGGGACUACCAUUCCUAAGCAGGUGAGGGUGGCUGUAGAGCACCCCCUCCACACACCCACUGCCCCCCCACCCACACACACACUCCUAGUGAAUGAUUUGUCAUUUUGCACAUUUCUACAUGCAUGGCAUACAUGCCAAGUGCACUGUUCUGCCUUAUGAAGGGACCAAUUUUUCAAGCUUAGGCAAAUGUAGCCAGGCCAGGGCCAGCUACUGUCUCAUUUUUUUUCUCAUCAUGCCACUAUUCGCACUGAUUUGAGAGAAUGAGAUUAUGUUUUCCCUUUUGUUGCUCAUUUAUCCAACUAUUUAUUUAUGUAUUUGCUAACGUAAGAGUGGAUUGCCACAGAUAACUGGCCAUGCUUUUUGUCGUUUUCUUAUUUGUUUGUACACACAUUUCAUUAGCGUCCCUGACCAUUUAAGACCCACAGAAGAAAAUGACACUACACUUAUCUGAGCAAAAAAGAAGAAAAGAAACAUUUUUUUUCUCUUAAAACCCCAAAACAGGAGAGCACAUUAAAGAGUGACUGAAAUCAUUUAGAAGAUUGCUAGGGCCAAGAUUGACCAUUUUAAUCUCUGCAGCUAUUGGGGAAAUCCUAAGAAAGUUGUUGAAUAAGCACAUUACAAAACCCACUGGACUUCCAAAUCAACAUAACUUUAAUCUCUGUGCAUCUUGAAGAGGCAUUUAUAGUUCCUCCUUUUUACAGUAAGGCUGUAUAGGGCUCAAAGAGUGAAUAUUUGUGGGUAGACUUGUUGGCAACAUAGUUCCUGGGAACAUUUAAGGUAUAGCUCUAAUACGUAUUGGCUGGUAAUAAGCAAAUUCUAUGGUAGAUAAGGGGAAACAUGAGUAAUGAGUUUAAUUUCAGUCAGAAUCUUGUAUCUGUUUUUCAAUUUUAAAAAUCAUGGUAUUUUAAUAAGACCUAAGAUGAUAUGAAUGUCUGUUCCACGUAAUAGCUCCAGCUCCCAUAAGCACAUAGACACACACUAUGUGAGAGUCCACUACAAACUAUACAACAUCUUUUUGGUUUUGGUUAAUGACUACAUGCACAGCAUAAAGACAGGUUGUAAUCGCUGGCAUAUCUUAGUCAUGUGUCUCAUGGUUGGAAAAUAACAAAAGCAACAAGCUAUUGUCCUGGCCAAAUAGAUUUAUUUAGCAGUUUGAACUGUAAAAUUUGACUCAAUCAACAUCCCUAAGAUACAGGUUGCAGCCCCUUACAGAGAAAGUCUGCCAUGUCUGAUAUUUGUAGGAGAAAUCAACAAUGCACAUAGCAUUUCCUAUUUCCUAGGAAGUUGUCCCCCCCCCCAUCUCCUGAUAGGUAAAUUAGUUCAAAUAUGAAAAGUCACUCAUCCAAGGUCAUAUCAGCAAAGUUAAGUGACAGAGAGAUGUUGACUCGUUCCUGGCCCUCACCACCUGCCACUUGCUUCAGCAAACUCCCAGAAUUUGCUGACCCCUUAAAUGGGUACAUAUAUUGACAUGACCUUAAAGUUAUAAAUUAUAUCUAAUGCUUCUCAAAGAGGCUACUUGGUAUAGUCAUAUUAUGUACUACAGGGUAUCCCCCCAACCUGUGACAGAAUCACACGGACACGACCUCCAUUGGUAGCCAUUCUUUGGGUGGCUUCAAGCUAGUCACCCAGACCCUCCAAACUUCUACUUCUGUUGUUUGGGAAAAGGGGAUGCAAAGACUGAAAUAACAGUAUGAAUUAACCCUGAACAUGGUGCUUAGCCCUGUCCGGAUUAAUGGUUCUUUUAUCUCAUUGUUAAGUAUUACAGAGAAGGCGCAUUUCCCAGGUUAUUUGUAUGACUAUGCAACAAGCCGAAGACUUUUCCUGCCAGAACAGAUUGGCGAUUAAGUGAUUGGAGGUAGCUCAGGGAUCCCCAAAUCAAAGAUUGUGUUCCCUCCAUGUUGGCACUGAAGCAUCUGGCAGGAAUCUGGCGCUUCCCAUGCCAGGGGCUGCACACAGGACACAGAAAACACAGGCGAGCAGCACCCGCGCGCGGCAGCAGAGUGGUUUCCAUGCCCACCCGCAGGGGCACCAGCGCCCCCUCUCUCCCUCGCUGACCCGACUUACAAAAAAGAAGGCGGCUGGGACAGGGGACAGCUGGCCUCCGCCCCCAGCCCUCCUCUGCACCUAAGGGCUGCAGACUCAGCAGGCGGGCGCUGGCAUGCACCCUCCCAUUUCUAUCCAGUCUGCCCCAGACUGGAAGCUGAGCCCCGGGAGGCAGCAAAAGACACCGGGAGAGGGGCUGGAGAAGGCCAAAACAAGAGCAGGGGAAUCACAGUCAAGGUUGCGGAGCCACAAAAGACAGCAUGCAGACCGCGGACCUGCCACACGGAGAAGCCCUGUGGAUGGCAGGAGGCCAGGGAAGGAUGUGGAGAGGGGCCUGGAGGGAGGGGCGGCAGCACCCACGAACCGAAGAGCGGGAACUUGUGCGUGCAACUGGUCCCCCGGAACGUUGGACUUCACCAUCAGAGGGUACCACCAAGGACUUUGAGGUAGGGGGUGCGGCGAAAGGACAGGACACAAAGGCUAAACACAGCUACGCAGAAAACAGAAAGAAACCUUUCUGAGAACCAACCAGGAAGCUUAAAAACAAUCGAAACCCUGGAGCGACUUUGCAAUGAAAAAGCUGAAGAGGCAAAGAAAGACAAAUCCAGAUCGGAGAGUGAGGGAAGGGAAGAGUUAGAAGCCAAGGAAAGCAAACUGCACCAGGAACUAAAAGGAAAAAUUAAAUCAAUAAAGGAAAUUUUCAAAAAUCAUGCCAGAGCGAACUUGUUCCUGAAACUGCCAACAGAGGGAGGAAAAAAGGGUGGGGGCACCGAACAUACUGGAGAAACCAAAAGUAAAGAAAGGAAGGGAGUGAAGACAGGAUGCAAAUUAAACCAGACACGACAUAGAUAUCUGUUCCAAGACAAUCUUCUCAUCAUAGAUGUGGCAGGACAGCUAACAGGUGUCUGGGCUCUGUGCAUCCUCAUCUAUGAUGUGAGUUUUGAGUGAGACCAACUAUGACAGAUAAUCCCAGAAGACAGGUCAAAUGGAUGCAAGCUGCUGCUACUGCAAUACAUUCAAAUGAUAUCAUCAACAGAAAGGGAACUUGGGGCUGAGAACAGAAGGUGACCAAAGCUGACCUGGGAGCACUAUAGAGAGACUGGGAGGUGAGCAUUAGACCUACAUUUUGGUAAUAAUCAACACACAACUUUGUAGGGCACAAACAGUCCCAGACCUUUCAAAUGCUCAAACCCCUACUUGUCCUACUGACCUCCUAACAUUGUAACCCUGAUAAUCUAAUUUAAGUUGAAGAGGUUUGAAAUUCUCUUUCAGCUGCCACAUAAGAAAAUAUUUGCUCCUAGACAUUCUUUGAAGAGCACUCUCUAGUCUAUUUUCAAUUGCUAUAAGGGAAGACUGCAGGCUGGACAAUUUUUAAAGAAAAGAAAUUUACUAUUACGGAAGCAGAAGAGGCUAAGGGCACAGUGGUAAGAGCCCUCAGGCCACAUCAGGAUAUGGUAGAAAGGGAAAGUAGGCAUUUGUAAAAGAACAGGCAAGAGCACGAGGUUAAAACUUAUAGCAAACACCUUGCUUUUGUGACUAAGGAACCCACUCCUGAGAUAGCAGCAGCCGCCCAUUCACUAGGGCUCCUUCCCUGCUCCUGGCAGAAGUCCUACUUACCAGGCCCCACUUCCCAAAGCCCUCCACGGGGAUCAAGCUCCUAAUACAGGGACUGAGAAGAUAUGGACAAACCCCAGCCAUGUAGUCAGUCCUCCGUGGUGGAAUGCUUUUCAAAUUUUUUUUUUAAUUCUGUAGUUUAUGCUCCUCAACUUGGGGAUUAUGGGUAGGCAGAUAAAGCUUGUCAUUUUUAAAAAGAAAGUGGUAAGCAGUGAUCAGCCAAUAGUCACUUCCAAGGGCCAUCUGCGACAAGUCUGUAGAGCAUUCCGUUUGCAUAAUACAUGGGAAGUCUAUUAAAAUACAGCACACUGCUACAAGAAGGUAGAAAAAGUCUAAGCGAAAUUACACUUCCUUGUAAAAUAGUCCCUCUAUUACUGGCAACAAAGCUGAGUAUUUUUUUUUUUCUGUAUUGCUUUAAAUUGAAAAAUCCACUGUUCAAGAAAUCCGUGGAUAGAUGCAGUUUUGUCUAAGGCUGCAGACAUGUUGCAGCUCUGUAAGGAGCAGGAUGCUGAGCAGUGAUCAUUGAGCAGAGUAAAUGCCUGUUUACCUGACCAUCUCUGCUCUAGGGUAAGCAAUCGCGAAGCCCUAGUCAGUCAGAAGAGCCAGCUGUGCGUUUGCUCACAAUGCAGACCUAUAUAUAUGACCUAAAAAAGGCUACCUCUUGUGUUACUAGGAUGGAGAAAUAAAUAUCAAAUGCUUUACCUGUAAGAAAAGAGUCUCAUGUGUCAGAAGUAGGCCAGCAAGCCGGUAUCUUGACAGUGUGCUAGAGACUGUAGCAGAAGGGGAUUGAAGGUCUGUAUUUUUUUCACUCAUUCUCUACCUCAGGCUCUCAAGCAUAAUGUCAUCGCUGCUCUAAAAACUGACACUUUUCUGUUUGUCAAGGCUUGGUUUUUAAACCCAUGCAACUCUUCUCACAGCUUCAAACCUGGUUGCUUGCUACGGGUAUAGCUUUGAAAAGGUUUGAAGCAGCAAGAGUAGUUACUACUAAUGACGGUUGAGUUGGCCCCCAACAGGCUUUCCAAAGUUUGAUGAUUCUUGCAGGGAAAUCUAAAGAAUGGAGAAGAUGGAAGAUGGUUUCUUAUCUCCAGAUUUUAAUUAAUCCAGUCUAAUCAAGACAUUGGAAUUAUCAGCAGAUGACUUACACUUGAUGCCUGAAGCCUUUUCAUUGAACUGGCAGCCCUGGAAGUAACCUCUGAAGAUAUUUUUGAGCAGUUUGGUUCAAACUCCAUGUGGAGUGUUCAAUCAGGACUGGAGACACUUAUAAAUGGCUUUCCUUUCCAAGCUGCCUGAGUGACAGUCAUUCCUAUAUCAUACUUCUUUCAAGACAGAUGGUGAGGACACAGUUUGCUGUUCAGUUUCCAUUCGCUGCUGUCUUUUCUAAGCAACGUGGGGAAGGGAGCUGCAAACGAGAACGGUCUUCAAAAGCCUCUCCGCCUAAUUUUAACAACACUGCAGAGAGGCUGUAGCUUUUCUGUUAUGGUUCUCUCCCUGGGAUGUGAGGAAGCAUGUCUAAAGUGUGCCGUCCAAGAGUCAUAGCUGAUGAAAUGUAGGUAAUCUCUUAACAUCUAAAUACAGGAGACACUGCAGAUUCCUAUGCUCCACAGACGACACCUACCAGUGAUAAACUCCGAGUUACCAACAGUGCAUCGGUGUUGUAUUAAAGAAAGAAGUGCAAGCACUCUCUCCUGGAGUCAUUUAACUGAGCAAGAACCCAGACUUGAAUUUUCUAGUCCAUUCUCCCCUUAUCUUCCUCCCUCUGUCUGUUUUUUUGUUUUUUUGUUUUUUUUUCCAUGUGUCUGAAUCUCUACCUGCCUGAAGGCCAUCUUGUGAAUCUGUUUUUGUGUCUGUGCCUUUGGUCUGUAUAUGUCUGUUUCUUCCUAUGUGAUUAUAUGUCUUUGUGUCUGUGGGAGUGUGUGUGGAAAUGGUGUGUCAGGUAUGUGCUUGCUGUGUUGUACGUGUCUCUGUGUGUCAGUGGUGUCUGUCCCUAACAAAGGGCUUUGCUCUGUAUUUAUUGAAUGGCACAUGGAGAAGGAGUGGGAUACUUUAUAGAAAUGUUUAACAGAGUUUUACCAGGGGUUAAGUCAAUGGCUCCAACUGAUCCCAACUGACUGACAUAAGAAACAUCAUUGUUUCUCAAGCGAUAUCCAUAAGCAUAUGCUUUCAACUGUGAUGGUGGAUGCUAGGAAGUUGCUUUCGACUUCUAUAUUUGCUACUUUCAGCAAAUGAUGUACAUGUAUUAUGAUGGAUGAUGAAUAUGGAAAAGCAUGUAACUUAAAAUUGCAGCUAUGGAUUUUUUAGGUUGUAAAUGUUGUUUAUGUGGGAAAUCCAAGGCAGUAAGACUGGUUGUUACCUUGUUCUCUUAGAGGCAGGUUAAACAAAGAGUUUGAAUUCACCGUAUUUUUAGAAGUCUAAAGUGACCACCAUGUAUGUUAUGUAAUGUUCAGCAAAAGUUGCAGUCUCCUAGAACAUGAGAGAUGAGUACAGAAUAUUGCAUUGCCACACAAUGCCUUUCCUGACACCAUCAUUAAGACUUUCUGUGUAGGGCAUUGCCACUGACAGAACUCUGAUUCAUACUGGUUUGUGACUCGAUCCUUUUUAUCCCAUAAUGCCAUAAAGGAAAAACAAAGAUCCACCAAACUCUCGAAUAUGCAACAUACAAAUGUGUGUUUUUCUUUACUCUCCACACUGAGUGCUUAUGGUGGGCUCCCCGCUUAGGCUCUUCAUGUUAAUGCUUUAAUGCCAAAAGGUAAGUGUGAUCUUGUGGAUGACAUAGAUCUCAUACACUUCUCUAAGUCACCUGGCUCAUCUGUUGCAGAGUCCAAGUGAAAGGGCAAAGCUCCACUUCCUAACUCCUGUCACUAAACAGCUUGUCGCCACACUCAUUGCUCAGGGUGACGCUGAAACACUCACUAUCUUUAGGAACUAGAUUUGAGCACCUGCAGUCUCACCUCUGAAAUCCAGCCCAGUCUUUCAUUUUGAUGAAUUCUCACUUGGCUUUCUUUAAGACAAAUGAAAGAUAGUUCAAACAAACCUGACCCCAUGAAAAGUGUUAUUGUCUUGGAAACUCCACACACCCCUAUGUUUAACCUAUUUAUAAUGCACACUCUAGAAAGUUCAAAUACUCAGUCAUGUUCCCCGAUCUUGGAACACACAGUUCAUUAUUUAGUCAAGUAUUGGGUGGAUGGAUGGAUGGAUGGAUGGAUGGAUGGAUGGAUAGAUGGAUAUGGUGCAUGGAAUUGAAUAAAUAUAUUAGUAUGAUAGAACAAAUGAUCGAAUAAGAUGGACAUAUACAUGGAUUGAUGAAUAGACAAAUAAAUUAAUAGGGAUAUCAGAAUGUAGAGACCCGAGUUCUCAUUAUAAGAUCCUUUUCUUCUGUGUCAUGUUUUAACCAACCAUAUUCUGUCACUAGUUCAGUCCUGGUGCUGACUGCCAGCUUAGCUAUUAAACUCAAAACAUGCCCAGCUCUAAAAGCUUGGUUCUCUCCUUGGUAGAGAGCCUGGUCCAUCAGGAAGCUUGUCAUUCUUAGUUUAAGAAUAAACUUUACUUUUCUCACCCGGUGUAUCUGUCGUCCUCUCUCCAGUGCUAGCCCAAAGGGCAGUUAAAGCAAACGAGACAAAGCAUUUGUGCUUCGGACAUAAAAUGAACAUCUGACUUCCCAACUGCAAAAGAUGAGAAUGCUUCUCUGUUAUUUCCUUUUACAUAGCAAACAUUAAGUGCCCCUGUUGGUUGCCAGGUAUGCUCCAAAAGUGGUUGAUAAUAUGGGGAUGAAAAGAGAAUGGGCAAAAAUUGUUGCACUGAUGCAACUUUCAUUCCAAUGGAGGCAGCCAAAUAAUAAGUGAAAUAGACACGCAAACGGUAGGGUGGAUGAAGACACAGCACAGCAGUGGCAGAAGCAAUGAGGAGGGCAGGGUGGAACUUUGAAAAGUGAGAGGCUCAUAUAUAUCCCCUCAGAAAAGCAAAUUGAAACCCUAUUUCUCAGCACCUCAGUAUGUGAGCUUUAUCUGAUAAUGAAUUGGAUCAUGAGCUAAUUCCUCAAGGUGUGAUCAUAGGAAGCUAGCGUGGGCUCCUGAAGCAGUUAUACUACCGUCCUGAGAGACAACAUGAAGACACAACAAUGCUUAAACUUCAGCUAGGAAGGGAUCAUAUUACCCCAGGCAGUUCAUCAAAACACAGGUUUCUGGGCUCAGGGUCUCUUAUCCAGGCACUCGAUGUCAGAUCAGCAUGGGUGUAUGUAUUACAAGUUGCCUGUUGAUGCUGAUAGCUUUGUCCCAAGGUCCACUGAAUUGCUUAGUUUGUAGAGCUGCAAUGUGACCUGGACCUCUUUCUCAUCUAAGCUGCUGAAAUCAUUCCGAGAGUUAGAAUAGAGAAGAAGCAACCAAUUCUGACUUCUGCUUUAGCAGCACACUGGGCCUGUUGGGGGUGGGAACAGACUGUGAGGAAUGAAGAGGGAAGGAGAAGAGCCCAGCUAUGAGAUAAUUAAAGUAAGAGUGUACAGUGUGGAACAGCUGUGCAGAAGCAGCUAGGAGCUGAGGUGUGCUCCAGGAUUUUUGUUGUUGUUGUUGUUGUUGUUGUUUUUGUUUUUCUUUUUUAAAGUCAAUGGUUUAUUUGUAAUUUUGGUAUAGAAAAUAAUCUUUAAAAAUUAAUGGAGGCUACUAAAAUCUUGAGACAUAGAAGCAGAUCUUAAUAGGCAUGGAGAGUUGCAGGACAGGGUCUUUGUUCUUUAGAAAGCUGACAGACUGCUUAUAACUUGAAAUAGCCAACAUGUAGGGUCCAAGGAGAAAAUUAAGACUUUUUAAGUAACAACUCAAUUUCACGAGGAUCUGAGUACUUUGGGUAGAUAGAUGAUUCAUGUUCAGAUUCAAAUACUACUUCUGCCUGCCUGCCUUCUUUCUUCCUUCCUUCCUUUUUUCCUUUCUUCUUUCUUCCUCCCUCUCUCCUUUCUUUUUUCUUUCCUUUCUUCUUUCUUUAAGAGAAGAACCUACUUCUGUCACUUUGUUAAUUCACUAUAAUCCGUAAAUACAUGAGAGAGAGAGAGAGAGAGAGAGAGAGAGAGAGAGAGUCCCUAGCCCUCCUCAUCAAGGAAAUUUCUCCUUACAACUAUAGACCAUUACAGAAAACCAUAAUCAAUAGGAAUUCAGAGUUGUAGAGUCCAGUCCGAACAAAUACAUUGACAACAACACCCCUGCACCUAAAGCUCAGAGAUCAUUGUGGGAGAGGGAAUGAAGGGUUGUAAGAGCCAGAGGAGUUCAGAGUUUGCUGUGAGAGUGUAACUCAGGUUUCUUUAGAGGGCUGAGAAGUUCUUGGGUAUAAUUCACAGAAUAAAUACAUAUACAAGUACGUAUACAUGUACAAUUUGAUUUACCUGGUGCCUUCAAAACAUGGCACUUUCAGAGAACAGCUCAUGUUUAACAUGAGCUAUAUUGUUUCUGAGUGGCUCCAGCUCUCCCUCCACUCAGCCAUUCACCCAUCCAGCUCAAGUCGUGUCUUGAAAUUCUGAAGGACUCUAAGGGCCACGCCUUGCAGUCACUUCCUAAAUGGCUGGGGAUGGAGAAAGGGGUCCUUUUAUUUUAUACUGUCACAACCUUACAAUCCUAUGAACUUAAGAGCUUUUGUUUGGGUGGCUAAUGCGGAUGACAGCACUCCUGUUCUGUUCAAGGCCUCAGUCCAUUCAGAAGGUGACAUCUAAGAAGGUCUUGAAUCAUCUCUUUAUAUACAGGCCAGGUCUUACAAUGAAAUGUUCCCAAAUGUGCAGAAUGAGGUGAGACUCCCAACACUUAAAGACUAAAAAGUGCUGUUCAGACAAAACCAAUCUAUUGCUGAUUAGACGAGACCAGUGCAUUCAGUCUUUGAAGCCUGUGAUGUCUAAUUAACAUGCCCCCUGUCACUUCUGUGUACUCUCAUUUUCCUACUAAUCUAUCAUUUUGACAGAAUGCUCAUCACAUCCACCCAGAACACUUCAAAAACAUAAUGACUGGGUUGUUGUUGUUGUUUGUUUUGGUUUUGCUGUUUGUUUGUUUGUUUGUUUGUUUUUGACAGUUUUAAAAACACUGUCAGGUAAUUUGGAUUUCUACCAACACCUUGUUUUACUCUUCUUGUCUCAUCUCCUCUCUCUCUCUCUCUCUCUCUCUCUCUCUCUCUCUCUCUCAUUUCUUUGAUUUUUUUUAAAGAAUAGUCUGUUUAAGGAACUUAAAUUCUAAAAGAAGAUAGAACCUAUGACCUUUUCUUCCAUGACAAAACUGAAGAGUCUUUACAUUUAUAUUCAAACCAUUUAAGUGCUGGCACAUUAAAUCAUUAUCUAGCUGAAUGUGAAUAAAACUAGCUUCUCUGUUCCUGGGUCCCUGUUAGUAAGUUAAGGAGAUUGGACUGAAUCAUGAGGGUUGUCAUGAGUACUACAAACAGCUGGUUAUAGGUGUUCUGUUUGAGCUUUACUUUCUAGUAGUGGUGGUGUCACUGGGUUUUGAGCAUCCUGAGGAUGUGCUCUGUCAUCAAAGUCAACCUGCCUCCUGAUUUGGCUUGAAAUGAGGCAGCUGUUUUCAUCUGUAUCCUCCAUAAUAUUAAAGCAGGCAACCCAAUCCAAGCCAUAAAAGUGCUGCUCUAAAAGGAAAAAUGAGUGAAGCAAACAUAAACAGGAAGAAACAUAGCCAAGAACCAGAGAGUCAUAGGCUAGGAUGGUACAGGGCAACGCCAAACAAGCAGGCUCUGCUACUCAGCAACCAAAUGCAUCAUAGGAAAAGAAACGUGGACUUGAAGCAGCACCCCCUGUCCAGAAUCUCAAAUCACCCUUUUGUACUCACAGUGCUUACUUGUCCUUAAGUAACAAAUAAUUCAAGUUAAAAUAAAACAGCAACAACAAAUCAAAUUACCAGCUCACUCUUUCAGAUGAUGCUAACCUAAAUGCUAGGUGUUUGCAUGAUGAAAGCCAUGCUGAUUGAAAUUCAUACUUUGGGGAUUAUUUUUGCAUGCUAAGUUUCAUAAGAGGAGGAUCAGUUUGCAUGACUCCUCUCUGAAAAGUAACCACUAAACACACAUAUGCCCCAACACAGAAAAUGUAAGUCAGUCAUAAUGUCUAUCCUAAGCUAAACAGAAAGGCAGGUGACCAGGAUAUUGCAGGAACACUAAUAAAAGAACAUGAACAAUUUCCAGUGAAGCCCGAUGUGUACAACUGCAGUUGGACCUGUCUAGGACUAAAUAAGCAAUAUAUUCUCUAUUUCUCACCAGUUCCAAUGGCCAAAGGUUGAAACAGAGAGUAUAAAUAACAAGGAUGACCUAGAUAGUCAAAAAUAGAAAACAGAUGAUUGUUACUAUAAAUAGAAUUUUUAUUUCAUAGACAGAUUAAAAUGAUUAAAGUGUGAAUACCUUUAGAAUACCUAAGUGUUUUCUUUUUAAUUGAUAUUUCAUUUGAUAUGUACAGGCCUAUAAAAACUUCAAGAAUUAGGCUUAUGGAUUUUUCUAUAUGAAUAUAAUUAGAACCUUAUCUAUCAGUUUAUAGUCUAGAUAUUGUACCACACAAAAGGAAGUCUGGGGGAAUUUUCAUCAGUUUGGGGGACAUAAAUGGAAUGAUAUGAGCAAAAGCAUAGUGCUAUACCCAGAAUGGCUCCAGGGAUUAGACCUGAGAGGGGUAACAGAAAAGGAGAAGGGAGAUGGAAACACAGAAGAUCUGGGACUAGGUACUCUGAUAGAGAAACUGCAGCACACUGGGAGCUCAAUAUGUUUGUUAUAUAGAGUUGAAUAGGGGGCCUAGGUUUUGUAGACAUCUAAGUCAAGGAGAUACAGUUUACUAUACAGCUGGAUCAACAAGGCAGAUUUUCCUAAUUCCCAUAGGAGCAGAAGAACAGGCCAUCAAAAGCAAUGGAAGUCAGUUACUGCCCACACUCUCAAUAUCUACACAUGGACCACAAUGAUAGGUCAUUUCUCUGACACUGAAAUGAGCCAAUCCAAGCCAGAUUCGAUUAUAUUAAAGGCAAGUUUAUUGUGAAGCUGCUGUCAGGGGAGCAAGUUCACUGGCCCCAAAGAGCAAGGCCAGGGAUGUCUCCAAGGGGAAAAGAGGGUAGGGUGGGGAGACAGUAAGGGGUGCACAGACAUAGAGAGAGGAGGAAAAGAAGAGAAAGAGAGACCCAAAUGUCUGGAUUAUAUAGGGAGGAGCUGGGGGAAGGGCAUCCCAGCCACUGGGCUGAAAAGUUCAGGGUUGGGAAUGGGAUAUGCCAGGUAGGAACUAAGGGAUGGUGGGAGAACCUGGGGGCCAGGUCUGCUUUGAUAUGUAAAAUAUGGACCUCAGUCCCUUGUUCCCUGGUUCAAAAAAAAACCUGAAGACUUCACCACCCUCUGAGCAUCACCCAGAGUGAGAUGCAGGGGGGGCUUUGCCAUUUCCCCAGGGUCUGGGCUUCUGGUCCUUGCCAUGCUUGUGCGUGUGUCAAUAGUACACACUCUGCAGGACCUCGACCACGCCGGGCUUCCUCCACUUCCCACAGUGUGAGCUGGGCUUUAUACCUCAAGUUGGGCUGUCUCCCAAAAUGCCAGGAGAAAUAAUCUUGGAUAAUUUAUUUUAGACCAUGAUUCUGAGAAGCAGGGAGGAAGGAGAGCAACAUUAUGGAAAUGCACUUAUGUUUCACUGGAAAAUGCACUGGAAGUGACUGAGAACCACAGAGGAUGUCUUUGGGCACGCUGUCUCUGAAAGCCAGGGUCUCACCUUCCAUGGGUAUGGUCUACCUCAAAUCUGAGGAUUGGCUGUGGCUUUUGGAGAAGGGCUGAAGCAGGAGAAUGGAAAGAUGCUGAGGGACAGGGUGGAGGUGGAAUCUAUGACCUUAAAUUGAGUAUGAUGAGAAAUGUGCUGGUCCUACCUGCCUUCAUAUGAAGACUAUGUGUCUGAGCAACAAUAGAAACCUCCAGCUUUCUCUAAACCAGGAGUCAUUGUGUAUGGAUGACCCCAGUGUUUUCCAUACUUGUAUCUUGUAAUAGACCUCUCUGUAGGUUUUUAUCUUCUAGCUGUUUUCCUUCUAAGAAGGAUAGGCUUACUCCAUGGCAGGCUUCAAAUUGGCAGUUGAGGAGACUAGGCCUAAAUCUCUGUUUCUAAGAACUGGGCAAGUCUAGUCAAGUCCAGGUCUCAGAAGCUGCCCUGCCACAUAGCCUGAGGUAAGGAUAGUGGGUAAGCAGCAGUUUCCAAGCAAUAGUUUCCAGACCCCCAAGCCCCAGCAAUGGUUCUGGAAUAAGCCUAGGGAUAGAGCCAAGAUUAAUAUAGAGGUAGCCUAACCCUCCUCAGAAUUCCCGUAAUGUACUUGAAAUUGGGCCUGCAAGCUCACUUUGGGGUCUUUCCAUCUUUGUAGAUAGUAGACCCAGCCCCCCCCCACCACCACCACCACACACACACCAGCAUGCUGGAUUUUUGCAAAAUAAAACAUUUUCUGUGUUACAUACUAUUCGAAUCUGGGGUAUCAUUCUUUAGUGAAUCAUGGACCCUUACAUUUGGAGACUCUUGUCUGGGACUCACUGGCAAACCCCUGACCCAAAUAGUAGGGUGUUUUUCUGGUCAGUCCAGGCUCCCAGUUGUCUUUUGUCUUGUCCAUCUCUAUGUUUCUGUUUCAGGUUUAAUCUGUUUUUCUGUUUCGGGCUUUAAUCUGGAGGCCAAGAGGGACAAAGCAGACAAGCAUCUUGUCAACCUACCAGGGCAACAGAGGGAAUUCCUGACCCCCUACUGGAAGCAGGAGAACUUGUUAGUUCUCAUCUAAAUUCUGAACUGGCUGUGGGUCUAUGGGCUUCCCAUGGGCAGCAAGGAAGAUCAUCUGAGACAGCCUUUUCAUUUUGUUUGUGUUUUCCAGGAAUGUCCCUCGGUGUCUGUCUGUGUGUAUUCUGUCUGUGCUUUUUGUCAUCUUGUACAAUGUUUUUCUUUGAUUCCUAGGAUUGGACAGGCAGAAAUUACCCCCCAGGGCUUGGUCCUGAAACAUUUUAAGGACUUUUGCAGAGUCACAGAAGACUCCAGUCUGGUUGUUCUUCCCUGCAAACUAAUCAUCUUUUGCAGGAAUGAGUGGCCCGUCUAUAAAGUAGCAUGGCCUGAGGAGAGGACUUUCCAUCUCCCCAUCAUUUACAGGGUGAAGGUUUCGUUUAUGAGGCCUGGGACUAUCUGGACCAAGUGCCGUAUAUCACCGUGUGGCAAUACCUGGUGUAGAAGCCCCCUGUUUGGAUGAGACCUUUUUUGUUAUGGGCUUUGCCACUUGACUCUAAAGGAGGGUCAGCCUUGCUCCCCCUUUCUGAUCCUGAGGAGGAUCUCUGUCCCCCUCCUUAUGUCCCUGCUUCUGCCACCUCUCCCAUGCUCAGCCAGCACAGGAGGAGGGAGGAGUGACAUCUGACUCCUUUGACUCUCCUGACUCCAUUUGGAGUGGACCUAACACUCUGGCCUGUACUGCCUAGAGGGCUGACUCCACAAUGGCCUUACCCCUCUGGCCUACAUGACCUCCAGAUGCUCAGGAGGGACAGUUCAUGACAUCUGUGUCAUUUGCCAGUAAUGAUCUUUACAAUUGGAAGUUGGAGAACUCCGCAUUUUCAGACCAUCAGCUCUCACAGGUCUUCUAGAUUCAAUCAUGCUGCCUCACCAGCCCACCUGGGAUGACUGUCAGCCACUGCUCCAGGUCUUCCUCAUGACAGAGGAGAGAGGGGAUCCUGGGAACCACCUGGAAAUUGAUUUUGGGAGCAAAUGGGCUACCCACUCAAGGUCAGAGUCCAGGCUGAAAUUGAUGCAGCCUUUCCUUUGUCUCAACCCAACUCGGAUUUUAACACUGCUGAAGGUAAAGAGAGGCUCCAAGUCUACUGCCAGAUUCUGAUGGGGGAGGGGGCACUCUGAGGGGUUGCCAGAUGGCCCACAAAUUUAUCUAUAGUGAGUCAGGUGAUACAGGAAAAGAAUGAGAGCUCCAGGAAAUAUCCCCGCCCCCCAUGCUAUUGAGGGAACCUUCAAGAAUCCACCCAGCUGGUGGCUUUCCAAUGCCAGACUGGUCCACUUUAAGCUCUAUUUUUGAAUCCCCCUCGUAUUAGAUAUAACCCAUCAUCUGUCCUAAACCCAGUCACCCUGCUACCUGACUCAUUCUCAGACAUGCAGCAUGUUUGCUUUAUAGUUCUGAGGCUUGCCCAGAACAUCAUGUUGAACUUGACUGACAUACCCUGGCCAGAUGUGGAAUGUGUCUACUUCAGAGAUGGAAAGCAGACUCAUUCAGAAUGGAGUCAGCUAUGUAGGGGCAGCAGUAGUAGACUUGGACUCUGUUAUUUGGGCAAGUGUUUUGCUACCAGGAACAUCAGACCAAAAAGCUGAACUAAAGUCUCUAACCCAGGUUUUAAAACUGGCAAAAGGAGCCAUGGCUAACUAACAUCUACACUGACAGCAGAUAUGCUUUUGAUACAGCUCAUGGACAUGGGUCCAUAUACUAAGAGAAGGGAUUGACUGCUGAAGGAAAAACCAUCAAAAAUAAGGCAUACUUGCUUUAUUGGAAGCAUUAUGGUUUCUUCUCAAAGUGGCCAUAAUUCAUUGCCCUGGGCAUCAGAAAAGGACAUCAGAAAUAGCCUGAGGGAACAGCUAGCUGAUAAAGCCAAAAAGGAAGCCACCCAAGCCUCCACUGCUAACAUCCUGGUAGCUUCGUUUUCCCCAGCCAUCCCUGAAUAUACUGUUGAAGACAAAGGACAUCAGGUGAAAUGCCAAGGAGUUUACAGAAGAAACAGAUGGUUGUUGACCUCUGAAGGUUGCACCAUCCUACCUAAGGAGUUUGCUAAGCCACACAUCCAUCAGAUUCAUCAAGCUUCACACCUGGUCACCGGAAACUGAAGGAAUUGUUGUGAGGGGCAAGAUACAAAAUAUUUGACUUAGGACACUUCGAUGAGCAGGUAAUCUCAGAUUGUGCCACCUGCCAGGCUGUGAACUCCUCAGGCUGCAAUCAAGGAGCCACUCCAGGAACCAGAAUCAGGGGUCAACAGCCAGGGCCUAAUUGGGAAAUAGAUUAUACAGAAAUAAAACCAGGAAAAUAUGGACAUAAGCAUUUGCUAGUUUUUAUAGAUACCUUUUCAGGAUAGGCAAAAGCCUACCCUACAAAGGAGACUGCCAAUGUAGUGGCAAAGAAGCCUCUGGAAGACAUCAUAACCGGGUGUGGUUUGCCUACCCUGCUUGGAUCUGACAGUGGGCCAGCAUUCAUCUUUCAAGUAACUCAAUCUCUAGCAUAGGUUCUGGUGAUCAAUUGGAAAUUUCAUUAUGCAUACAGACCCCAGGGCUCAGAGCAAGUAAGGAGGAUGAAUUGGACCCUGAAGGAGGCCUUGACCAAAUUAAUGCUUGAAACUGGCAGUGACUGGACAUCUCUCCUACCUUAGAUAGGGCUGGGAACACACGUAUACUUUAGGCCUCAUUCUCUUUGAGAUCCUAUAUGGGAGGCCCUCUCCCAUGCUGCCUAACCUCCAGUCUCAUAUCUUAACUGAAUAUGAGCAAUAUAAGUUUUACAAAUCCUUGGAAGCCCUCCCUAGGGUCCAGAAACAACUCUGGCUGCCAUCUGCCAGGUUUAUGAGUCUGCUCCUUCCCCUAGAGCCCACUGCUUUGAACCAGGUGACAAAGUCUGGAUUAAGACACAUAACCACAAAACUCUAGGACCUCACUGGAAAGGACCUUACUCUGUGAUCCUGACCACACCUUUGGCUGUUAAGGUAGAUGGGAUCAGGUCGUGGAUACACCACUCCCAGUUUAAGACUGCCAGGAGAGAAAUGAGGUUUAAGUCCCACUGGAGACUUCUAGGUGAACUGCUACAAGAACGAUGGAAGGUUACCCCACAGAGUGUUGAUCCACUCACUGAAACUGCAACUCCAGUGCUCCAAUCCUGUUUGUUUGCUGCUUACACUUUACUGCACCAGCCAGUAGCCUCCUUACUAUCUGGGCACCCCCAGGGGGGGGGGGGGAUGCAACAACUUUGUCAUCAAGUUCACAGUGGCUGGCAAGAAGGCUGAUUGGUUUGCUGGUUCUUAACUCCUCUUGCCCUAGACUUAACACAGAACUGUUGGUUACUGGACAGGGACUCUGCAUUGGAAAUAAAGUACCCUCAGCCUAUUCCCACCUCUACAACCACAUUGUACCCCCUACUGUUGCAGGACACAGGCUGCCCCCAAAGACUGCUUUGUGGGUUUGUACCUCGGGGUUUACUCUAUGCAUUUAUGGUCUGGUUGUAAAUACAACUGAGAAUUUUUAUGUUCUAGUACAGCUUGUACCCAGAGUGACUUAUUACUAUGGGGAGUAUGCCUUCAACCAGCUAGCACCUUCAAAUAAUCAGGUUCAAAGGGUGGCCAUUUUCACUGUGUUACUAGGUUCGCUCCUUGGCAUAGGGCUGGCCAGAGCUACAAGUAUAGGGACCUCAGCCCUAAAUACUCCAAGAUAAAAAUUACAGAACCCUAGAGAUGGCGAUCCAUGCAGAUAUACAGGAGAUGGAAAAGUUCAUCAAUGCUCUGCAGGAUUGAUUUUCCCUUUCCUCCUUCACAGAAGUAGUCUUACAGAACUGAAGAGGCCUAGACUUGCUGUUCCUCAUGCAGGGAGGUCUCUGUGCAGCCUUAUGUGAGGAGUGUUGCUUCCAUGUUGACCACUCAGGGGCUGUCAAAGAAUCCGUAGCCUUAGUAACAAAGAGACUACAAGACGGAAGAACAGACAGAAGACAGUCUUAGAGUUGCUAUGAGUCCCUUUUCAAUUGGCCUUCUUGGCUGACCAAGACCUUGCCUCUCCUCUGACUGGUUCUCUUAUCCUACUGAUGUUAGCUUUGGCUUGUGGUCCCUGAAUAAUCAAUGCUUUGGUUAAGUUUAUUAAGGAACAGAUUUCCACCAUUCAAUUAAUGAUUCUCAAAUAGCAAUACCAGCUCAUGAAACAUCUCAAGGAUUCAAGAUGACCCAAAACUGAAGAGGGGAAUGAGAAGGCUAGGCUGACUCCAUGACAGGCUUCAAAUUGGCACUUGAGGAGACUAGGCCUAAAUCUCUGUUUCCAAGAACUGGGCAAGUCUAGUCAAGUCCAGGCCUCAAAAGCUGCCCAGCCACCUGGCCUGAGGCAAGGGCAAAGGGUCAGCAGCAAUUUCCAGACUUCCUCAGCAAUAGUUUCUAGAACUCCCUAGCAAGUUUCCAGACCCUAGGCCCCAGCAAUGGUUCCAGAAUGUCCCUAGAGAUAGAGUCAAGAUUAAGGUAGAAGUCACCUACCACCCCCCAAGUCCCAACCCCCUGAAAUUCCUCUAAUUUUCUAUAAAUUGGGCCUGCAAGCUCACUUUGGGGUCUUACCAUCUUUGUAGAUGAAGAUGGGUAGACCCCAGCAUGUUGGACUUCUGCAGAAUAAACCACUCUUUGCCUAUACAUA
This is an RNA transcript of Mus musculus (house mouse), 20250 nucleotides long. It is a transcript of the gene named RIKEN cDNA 2900060L22 gene, with no coding region annotated. The transcript is spliced from 3 exons. The record is from RefSeq and is a predicted model, not a curated record. Lineage: Eukaryota; Metazoa; Chordata; Mammalia; Rodentia; Muridae.